GUCGCUGACAGUCGCAUUUGCAGAAAGCACAUCAGCAGCACAAGGCGUUGCCAGAGUUAAAAAUAUCAACGUGUUAAAACCCAAUCAUUCCAAUUCCGAUUCCAAAGGUCACAGGUUCGAAUCCUGUCGGGUGCGCCA
This 138-nucleotide transfer RNA is filed under the name Aliirhizobium wenxiniae. RNAcentral's name for it is "Rhizobium wenxiniae tRNA-OTHER". Lineage: Bacteria; Pseudomonadati; Pseudomonadota; Alphaproteobacteria; Hyphomicrobiales; Rhizobiaceae. The record is from RNAcentral.